GGAAGCGUAUCGAAGAGGUCAUAACGAGCCGCACUCGAAAUGCGGUUGCCCUCCGGGGGCACGUGGGUUCGAAUCCCACCGCUUCCGCCA
This 90-nucleotide transfer RNA is filed under the name Clostridiales bacterium. Its description in RNAcentral is "tRNA-Ser". It matches the Rfam family "tRNA". Rfam says of the family: Transfer RNA (tRNA) molecules are approximately 80 nucleotides in length. Their secondary structure includes four short double-helical elements and three loops (D, anti-codon, and T loops). Lineage: Bacteria; Bacillati; Bacillota; Clostridia; Eubacteriales. The record is from RNAcentral.